AUGUCAGCCAGGUGUAUGACUGUAAUGUCAGCCAGGUGUAUGACUGAUGUCAGCCAGGUGUAUGACUGUAAUGUCAGCCAGGUGUAUGACUGUAAUGUCAGCCAGGUGUAUGACUGUGAUAUCAGCCAGGUGUAUGACUGUGAUAUCAGCCAGGUGUAUGACUGUAAUGUCAGCCAGGUGUAUGACUGUGAUAUCAGCCAGGUGUAUGACUGUAAUGUCAGCCAGGUGUA
Non-coding RNA from Procambarus clarkii (red swamp crayfish), 230 nucleotides. The record is from RefSeq and is a predicted model, not a curated record. Lineage: Eukaryota; Metazoa; Arthropoda; Malacostraca; Decapoda; Cambaridae.